RNAcentral lists this ribosomal RNA (141 nucleotides) under uncultured eukaryote. Its description in RNAcentral is "partial 18S ribosomal RNA". It matches the Rfam family "Eukaryotic small subunit ribosomal RNA", at positions 1299 to 1458 of the family's 1831-position model. The record is from RNAcentral.
UGGUGGAGUGAUUCGUCUGGUUAAUUCCGAUAACGAACGAGACUCUGUCCUGCUAAAUAGUUCGAGCGUCCCUUUGUGUGCGCUCGAGCCUCUUCUUAGAGGGACUGGUGGCGUUUAGCCACACGAGAUUGAGCAAUAACA